This 903-nucleotide ribosomal RNA is filed under the name uncultured bacterium. Its description in RNAcentral is "bacterial SSU rRNA". It matches the Rfam family "Bacterial small subunit ribosomal RNA", at positions 28 to 916 of the family's 1533-position model. The record is from RNAcentral.
AACGAACGCUGGCGGCAGGCCUCAUACACGCAAGUCGAGCGAUUAAAGCCCCUUCGGGGGUGUAUAAAGCGGCGAACGGGUGAGUAACAGGUGGGUAAUCUACCUUUCGGUGGGGGACAACGUCUGGAAACGGCCGCUAAUACCGCAUGUGGUUGGUACGUCACAAGACGAACCAAAGAAAGGCGCGUUUGCGCCGCCGAAAGAUGGGCCCGCCCCCCAUUAGCUUGUUGGUGUGAUAACAGCGCACCAAGGCAACGAUGGGUAGCCGAGCUGAGAGGUUGAUCGGCCACACUGGGACUGAGAUACGGCCCAGACACCUACGGGCGGCAGCAGUAGGGAAUAUUGCGCAAUGGGCGAAAGCCUGACGCAGCCAUGCCGCGUGGAUGAUGAAGGCCUUCGGGUCGUAAAGUCCUUUUCUGAGGGAAGAACAAGCGGGGUAGGAAAUGCCCCCGCCCUGACGGUACCUCAGGAAUAAGCAACGGCAAACUCCGUGCCAGCAGCCGCGGUAAUACGGAGGUUGCAAGCGUUGUUCGGAAUAACUGGGCGUAAAGGGAGCGCAGGCGGUUUGAUCAGUCUGAAGUGGAAGCCCGGGGCUCAACCCCGGAAGGCCUUUGGAUACUGUCAGACUUGAGUUCGUGAGAGGAGAGUGGAAUUCCAGGUGUAGCGGUGAAAUGCGUAGAUAUCUGGAGGAACAUCGAUGGCGAAGGCAACUCUCUGGCACGAUACUGACGCUGAGGCUCGAAAGCGUGGGGAGCGAACAGGAUUAGAUACCCUGGUAGUCCACGCCCUAAACGAUGGAUACUAGGUAUGGGGGGUAUCGACCCCCUCCGUGCCGGAGCUUACGCGUUAAGUAUCCCGCCUGGGGAGUACGGCCGCAAGGCUAAAACUCAAAGGAAUUGACGG